UUAAAACAUGUAUCACAACAAGAUGUCUUGACAUGUUGAUCAGACAUCUUUGUAGGUUUUGUUUUACUUCUUGGAAGACUUACUUUAUCAUGAGAUCUCUGAAGAUUCUUUGAAUAUUCAUCUACCAUACCUGACUAUCCAAGAAGGUUUAUUUGAGGAACUCUUGUUUCGUUUCCAGCUGUGCACUUGGUUCAUAAAAAGGGAUGAUCAGACAUUUUAGGAAAUAAGUGAUCUUGUUCCUGAUUUUAUGUAGAAGAUUCUGCAGACUUUAUGUAUUAGUCCAGAUUGGAUGUAUUACAGUUUUAAGCCUAAGCGCACGCAUUCCAAAGGCUAUUUAAAGAGAAUGUUGCUAACCUAAUUUACAGAAGAGAGAGAUACGCUUGAUGAUUAUGAAAUUAGGGUUUUAGUGUUCUUUGUUAUUUGUGAGUCACUCUAAUAUCUCAUUGAUAUUAGAGUUGGAUUGUGUCUUUGUAUUGUAAUUGUCAAUCACUCAUGAGCUUUUAAGCAAGAAUGGAUUAUAUAUUUUGGAAGAGUGUCUUCUAUUAUUUGAUUAAAGUCAUUAUCACUGUGUGUGAUUGAACGGAAGUGAUAGGGGUCUCAUAUCUAGGAGGGUCAUAGAUAAAAAUAACACGGGUAAUGAUUAGGUGUGAAGAUUGUAAACAAGAGGGUGUUUACUGAGGUCUUCAAACUAAUAAUAUUUUAGUGGAUUUACUUCCUGGCUUGGAUGCCCCCAGAUGUAGGUGAAGUUGCACCAAAUUGGGUUAACAAUCAUUUAUGUUAUUUACUUUCAGCAGUGUAUUUUAACAUCCCUAAUACUAUUGUUCUGUGAAGUUCUGAUAUUAGUGUCGUAACAUCGCAUACGACAUCUGAUAUAUGAAUACCAGAAUUUCAGUUAUAAGCUUCCUUGAGACCGAGGGUUCUUGAAUUCGUGUGUUUCCAAGCCCGUAAAUCAUCCAAACCAGUAUCAAGAUUAGGGAUGUAAAUAUUUUGAACUUGCUUUUGUAACAUAGGGAUGCAAGGUUGAAUGCAGUGACAAAUACUCCAAGUAUUGUUAGAGAUGGUGUCUUUUACCUUAGCAUUUAGCUUGAGCUAUAAAUUAUGAGGAAUAUUGAUGAGAUCUCCUAAAGAGCCUGCACCCUAAUCAUCCACCUAAAGGUUGAUCCUAACACCUGUUCCCACUAUCCAUUUUGAGUUUGAAAAGAAUAGUGUGGAAUUUUUUGUUUAAUACUAGUCCAAAUUAAAGAGAAUAUAUGGUGAUUAAUGUAGUGACCAUUUCUCUAAAUUCUAGAUAAAAGGAAGAUGGCCCAUUUACAAUUGGAAUUCAUUAGCUCCCAACCCAAUUUGAUAUUUGUAGCAUCAUUGAGAGAGACCAAAGACCCGAGUCCCAGACCCCCAUGUUGGAGAAUAAACAUUUUUCCAUGAAACAAUUACUAACUUUUUUUGCUUCAUGUCCCCACUCCAAGCAAAAAUCCUAAAAUGUCUACCCAGAUCAUGCAGAAGAGUAGUAGACUAGGAAUAUGUAGUAAUAUAAUAAGGUCGCAUGCUAUAAAUAACACUUUUAAGUAAUUGGAUUCUACCAACAAAUGUCUGAAGAGGUGCUUUCCAAGAGGAAAGCUUUUUUCAAAAUCAUAUACACAACAAGUUGAAAUGAAUGGGUUUGGGCCUCCCUUUGAAGAUAGGAACUCCUAGGUAUGUAAAGGGAAUAGAACCAAUGGAAAAACAAAAAUAAGAAGUAAUGUUAAGCAGCUUGGUACGAGGCGUUGAUCCUCCAAAAACUGAAGACUUAAUAGGAUUAAUGAGUUGACCUGAAAUUUAACCAUAUUUGUCGAAGAAAUCAGCUAGAGCAAGGAGAUUAGAGGGUGUAACAGUACAAAAGAUCAUGAAAUCAUAUGAAUAUAAGACAUGAGAUUGGACAUGAUUCUUCCUAGUUCCUUUAAUGAGCUUGAGAUUUCCAGAGUUGACAAGGUUGGUGGUACUCCGACUCAAAACUUCCCCAGCUAUACAGAAUAUGAGAGUAGACAAGGGGUACCCUUGUCAGACCCCUAUGGCACAAGCAAACAAGCCUUCUUGUUUUCCAUUAACAAAGAUAGAAAGCAUGGUAGACCUAAGAAUAAUGGAUAUCCAGUUAAAAAAUUUAUCCUUAAAGCCAAAGGAUUUGAAAAAUUUUACGAUAAAAUUUCAAUCCAUUGUAUCAAAAGCUUUAGCUUUAUCAAUUUUAGGAGCAGAUUGAUAGCCUCUGAAGUGAUAAAAUAUUUAUGGUGGACCAGAUUAAUAGCCUCUGAAGUGAUAAAAGAAUAGUCCUUAAUUUGUCCCUUGUGUAUGAAACCUCUUUGUUCUUCAGAAAUGAUACCAGGGAUAAUGAGAACAAGUUUAUCCACCAAGACCUUAGAUAUAAUUUUAAACUUGAAGUUGGCCAUGACUAUAGGUCUAAACUGAGGUAGAGUGUCUGCAUUUGAUGAUUUAGGGAUAAGAACAACAUUGUUGGCAUUGUAAUGAGGAGGAACCAUACCUGAAGUAAAGAAUUUCAGACUAGCAUUGCAAACAUCAUCAUGUAUAAAAAAAAUUGCUGGAAAAAAGAAACCACCAAAACCACCUGGCCAUGGGGAACUAUUGGUGUUGAGGUUGAAAACUGCUUGUCUUAUUUCCUCCAUGGAAUGAAGCAAUGUGAUGGCAUUGUUUAUAAUAUAAUUAAUCAAACAGGGAAUGAUGUCUUCAAUAAUACCAUUAUUAUGAGUACCCCCACUUCAAGAAAAGAGGUUAGUGAAGUGGGAAACCACCUGAUCAACAUAGAACAUAAAAGCCUUAUAGUGAUAUGUUCAGUUGAAACAUACAAUGCACUCAGGCCAAACUUGAUUCCAUUGCCAAGGAAAGUGAAAGAAAUUUGUUAAGCAUCACAAGAGAUGAUUAUGGGAUCUAUACUCUUGUUGUAGAUACACCAAACGUUAGGUAAGAAAUCAUGUCUGAUGUUUGUAACAAAGACUAUUAGACCAAGUCUAUCAAACCAAAGAGACUGGAAAUUUUAAAUGUUCAUCCCAGGCUCGACAAUAAAGAAAAAGUUAGGUUUAUAGGUGGUGAUUAACUUCUUAAGGGCCAACUUUGUGGGAGAGUUGGCCAGAUCCAUGAGGUUCCAGUAUAUGUACUUCAUUUCCUGUUUUUUGAAAAAACAACUUUGGAUCUAGUUCUAUAAGAAAAUUUACCAGUGUUACCCUUAGUUUUUCUUUUGGAUUUAACCUUCUAGAAUGGUUCCUAAGGGCUGAGGUAUUCUUGGAAAGAGUCAAUAGAUCCCUUAGGGUCAGGUGUUGAGAGACUGUUAGAGCUAUUUGAGUUUUCAAUGGGAUCUUCCACUUCUUGGUCCUGGUUAGCUAAAUGGGCUCAAGAAUUUUUUAGGAAAGCUACAUCCUUGCUAAUUCUGACUGGUGUGUGAAACAAUUUUGAGAUUUCAAGACUCUUGCCUAUGUUUGGAGAGGAAUUAUGUGCCUCAAUUAUUUCAUCACUACCCAUGAAGUCAUUUAGGGGUAGCAUCCACAAAUCCCGAGGUGGAGGAUGAAUUAUCUUCUAAAGGUUUAGGGGAUUGGUUUAGCAAAGGCUCAAGUUCUAUAUCAAAAGAAUUUCAUGUUGACUUAGCCUUUGUUGGUAUAGGUAUGAUAGGAUUCUCUACAUAAUUAUCCCUUGAAAUUCCCUCUCAAAAGUAAAGUUAUCAGAAAUUUGGUUAACAUUUCCAUUGUGCAAGCAUACAUGCAUAUGUUUAACUGCUAAAAUGUAACCUAACAUUAUUCUCUAAAAUCAAACAACCUACAUACAUUUUUUUACACGAACUACAAAGCUAUGACUUUCUCAUUGCACUGUGAGAAUAUGUAGGCACGUGGUUUUGAAAUCUUGGCAAGCACAAUAAGAAAAAACUAACAUUUUCCUCUUUUACCUUUUUUUGUAAAUGUCUUUUAACAAACAAACAUUUCAAACAUUCCUUCAAAAACACUUAAUCCUAGUCUAUUAGGAGGUUCUCGUUAAGUCAACUGAUGCAAGGGGUGCUAAAACCUCCCCCUCGCAUAACCGACUCACGAACCUGAUUUUGUUGCGAUGACCAUCUUAUCCUCUUUUCUUAGGGUUUUAUCGUUAUUUUUCCUCUCCUUAGGAAUAAAUUAAAUUCGGUGGAGACUCUUUUAGUCAUCCGCGAGCGUGUGAUAUGCUCGUAAAUUCGUAUUUUUCGAGAUUCGACAACUGGGGACUCUGCUGGAGACAUUUCCCUGAAGAGAGUCAAGCAUAUCCUUUUAGUUCUAGGGUUGUUGGUUUGUUUGAUUGUUUUUUGUUUUAUUUAUUUAUUGCUUUAUUUUUAUCUUUUUCUUCUCUAUUUUUAUCUUGUACUUAUUUAUCAUUGUGGGUUUUGAUUAUUGUUUGAGAAUAAGCUCUACACUCGAGCUCGAGAAGAAACAUAAGCUUAAGUAAGGGUUUUUUCAUAUUUUGGCCAAUGGGAUGCACAUCCCAAAGGGUUUUUAACAAAAGCUCUGCCUAGAGUAGAUUAGUUCAGAGAUUUUGUUGUGAGUUGGCUAGCCCAUCUUCGUGACGAAACUUUUAACUUGAUCCAUGACUUUAGGGACCUCUUCUAAAACCCGAACAUGGUGAUUUCGUAUGGCCUAAAAGUCCUAUACAAAGGCUCUUCCUAAGGGAGACCCUUUGGAAUUUUAUCAUAAAUUAGGCUGAGCCCAAUAUCUUGAUGAAGUUUCAUAUGUGGUCCAUGAUCUUGCGUUUGUUCUUAAACAACCAACAAAAUCCUAAAGCCAUCCUUAUGAGGGGAUUGGGUAUUAAAGAUUUAGAAUCGAACUAUCAUAGGGAGCCUUCCUAAAUAAGGUGUUAUUAUAUCCUCCACUAUCCCUAAAUCCGUAUGUGUUUUCUUAUGCUAGUUACUAUCUUAAACCCGCAUGUGACACAUACCUUGCAUCUGCAUAAAAAAACUCUUAACAAACCUAGAAAACGAAACAUAAAAUAUUUUUGCAUACCCAAGCAUUUUCAUGAAUCCUCAUACGUACACAUGCAUUUGCAUAUCAUAAAAGGAAAACUCAUAUUUCUUCCCCUUCUCCAAGCUGAUCUGCGAUAGCUGAUUUCCUGAUACUCACGAGCGAAUUCAAAGCAUGUCUCAAUAAGUUAUGGAGGAACUCAAGAGAGGCCAGAAAUUAUUGAAAGAAGAGGUUUGUAACACCCUAAACCUCAAGACUUAUAAAUAAAGUAUUUAACGGAAAUUCAAGGUGUCACUACGAUAAUCCUUCAAAAACUCAUCAAAAUCACUUGAACUACGCAACGAAAAAACUUGUUCAACACACUUCAUAAAUAAGUUAUAAACUUCAAAAUAACAAAAAGCAACAACAAAUUAAAAAAUAUAAUAAAUCUCCUCCCCGAUGUUACACGAUCGGAGCAAUAAACCACUAGUAUUAUUAAAAAUUAAAUGUAAAAGCGAAGAGUAGCUCCAUCUUGUUCUUGAUUGGGUGUACAUGUUGUUAUGAACAUGUGUGAGGCUAUGAAAUUGUUGAUUUUGUAAUGAAUGUGUGCUUAUUGUAUGAACAAUCAGUUGUAUAUCCAAUCAUGUAUGAAAAUGUAAUCCACAACUGACUCGUUAUGCAUGUGGUACCAUUCAUGAACACUCAGGUUCAUCUCGCUCCCGAUCUCCACCAUAGGACCAGAGCACACCAAAUUGUUACCAUGAUCAUAGGUAAUGCUUCACCAACUCUCACAUGGAAUCAACUACUCGCUUCUAAUCAACACCACUAAACAAGAGCACACCGUAACUGGAUUAAAGUUCGUACACCAUGAUGCAUGACUCUCAACAACAUGCAUUAUCAACAAAAGGUUUACCAAAAGAAUCACCAUGUGUAUCUCACCAUUUAUGGACAACAUCAUUCAUCAUACGCAACAGUUAAUCAAUGUCAUGACAUCAAUAAACAAUGACAAACAACAGAAACUCAAUAAAUGUAACUUCAUACGCAUUCAUUCAUGUUACUUUACCAAAACAAUAACACAUCAUUAUAUAAACAUAACAAUUUGCUGACUGAUUAUACAAGUCAGCACAAACAUUGACACAUUAGACACUUGAUUAUAAUUCAAACAAUUCAACAAGCACUACCAUGAGGUAGCUAUGCGUCAUAGGGUGACAAUACAACAAAAUCAAAAACAUAAUUUUACACAAUUUUGCCUAAGAUAAUCGAUUGUCAUAGGGUGACAAUCGAUUGUUAUCAAGAGGAUUUCGCUAUUGACUUAUCAAAACUCACAUUUUUAAGCCAUACGAUCGAUUAAUCAAAUGGUGUAAUCAAUUGUAAUGUUAAUUUUUUUUCAAAAUUUGAACUAGUGCAAUCGAUUGUCAUUUGGUGACAAUCGAUUGUCACUACAUCUUUUUCCAAAAAACCUAGUUUUCAUCAUACGUUCAUCAUCCCCUCAUCCUUAAACCUUAAUACAUGACUCCAACUAAUUUUUCCCAAAUCAAUUAAUCUAAACACGAAUUUAAUAGUGAAUCAUGUUAUUACAACCACCAACCUAUUACAACACUUGUACUCAUCAUGAUUCGUAAUAAUUCAUCAAAAAUUUAAUGGAUAAUUUUAUCAACAACCAUGUACACAACCCAAACACUUAAACCUUCACCAAUGGAAAAUUUAUACAUAGAUAUUCAUAUUAUUCAAACAUAGAUUUAGUCAUAACAACACAUAUAAACACAAGAUCAACCAAUAAAUCUCUGAAAUUUCAUCAUACAACAAUUCAUCAAAAAAAUCCUAAAAACCCUAAUAAGAGUAAGGAUCUCUCUUCUCUACCCCGUCAUUCAAUACACACAUAUUGAUAGCCCUUUCUCCCCCCUUAUCAUAGAUUUCCAUCAAUGAUGAUGAAUUGAACAACUCCCAUGAAUUCUUCUUCCCAAUCUUAACUCUCAUUCCCAAAAGCCUUGUUCUUAUUGCCUCUUGUUUUGACGUACUGCCAGAUUCUCUAAAAAACUAGAUUCUCUCCUAACUUUUAGAAUAUAUAUAGUAACCUUAUUACUUUUGCUUAAUUAUUAUUAUUGCCCAAAUUGACUCUAACUUCUCUCCUCUUACCACAAACUUUCCUCAAUUCACACAAAUGACCUAAAACUCCAAUUUCACCAAAUUUCUCAUUUUAUUAUUAAGAAUAAUUAAAAUUCCAAUCAUUCUAAUUAUUUUCUAAUUUAUUCUACCUUAUCACCACACCUUACUAUUACUAUCACACCUCAAUAACAUAUAAUCAUAUAUUUUAUUUUAAAUCAUACCAACAUCAAAUAUUUAAAUAAAAUAAAUCACACGAUACCACUUGAUCCUCCACCUCGUUGAUAUCCUCCCAGUUAUGUCGAGAAUGCUAGAUGUUAAUACCAUGCUGGUUCACAGGGGCAUACAGUGUAAAAUUGCAGGGCUCUUAAACACAAGGUCCAAAACCUGAUCGACGAAAAGAAGUUAACUUUCGAAGGAGGAAUCCCAUUGGUGAACAGUCAUCACUUACUUUUACAAGUGCAAGAACGUCAAUAAGCAUAUCCUAAAUUCAGUGGGUAAAUAAGGAAGCUCUUCCCUAGGAUCAUUAUGAUUUUUCCAAUUGUAAUUUCUUUCUUGUUAAGUAUUGUUUGUUUUUAAAUUUAUACUCUUUGAUCAAUAAUUUCAAUAAGAUGAGCAUGCAUGAUUUUGGAAUUAAUCCUUUCGUAUUCACUCUUUCUUUUGCCAUCACUCGCCAUGUACAAUGUUUUUUCUAUUUUGACAUGUUAACAAACUUAGAAGGAGAAUUAUGUAAAUGAAAUAACCGAAUUUUCUUAUGUAUGUUUUUAUUAGUAAGAUCUAGAUGAUGAUGUAAGGCAUUGUUUCACUUCCCAAACACUGGAGAAAUAAGGAGAUAAUCCGUAGUCAACCCCUUUGAGCCUGAGGUCAGUGUUCUUUCUAUUUAUAAAAAACAUUAAUCUUAACUAGAGGCAAGGUAGAUUUUAAUUAAUUCGAUGAUUCAUUCUAAUCUCAAGAGAACCAUUCCCUCUAAUCACCUCAAUAAGAGUUCCAAAGCACAUCUUAUCCCUCACACAUGUCAUCCAACAUCGAGGAAGUUGUGAAAAGAUAAAAAUAAAAAUAGUUAAUAUGGCAGUCACAACCUUUCUGAAUCAAAUGCAAAAUCUCACAAGAAUUGUUCCAAAAUGAAGUGAGGGAAAAACAAGAAAGGGGGGGGGGGGGGGUUUGAAUUGUUUUGGAAAAUAAGCGCUUUUUCAGAAAAAAGACCACACAAGAAUUAUACUGGUUCGCUUAUAACACAAAGCUACUCCAGUCCACCCGACCAAGUGAUUUCGCCUUCAACAAGGACUUAAUCCACUAAUCUUGAAAGAUUAUUACAACCAACGUCUAAGAGAAAGAUCUCUUAGUCCUCUCAAUGUAUACAGAUUGCGCAGAGUCACUUGAGGAAUUAAAACAAUUUGAAGUAAAUACAGAAAUUGUAAUCUAGAGAGCUUCUAGGAAAGCAAUAUUACAACAGUAAGAGCAAUAGAAUGUUCACGUUCUGAGCAAAAGCUCGUGAAGAUUGAGAGAGAGAGAGAGAGAGAGACGGCGAGAGAGAGAGAGAGGAGAGAGAGAGAGAAGAGAAUAUUGUUGGAGUGUUCGGGUCUCUCAAUGCAGUUUGCUGUCCUUUAUAUAGAGGAAAGGACCGUUGAUUUGAUGGCAGAUAUUUUUGUCUUGAUUAGAAAUUAAUGUCAUAACUUUGUUUUUCUUGCCAAAACAACUUUGUCUCCCUGAAUAACUUCUUUCAAAAAUAGUUUCUUUCCAUUGAAGUUGAAGUUGCCGUUACUCUUUCUGGAUAAGGAGAUCCAUUAUCAGAGUCUGCGUUACUCUGUUAGACUGAGAUCUUGAGAUGUGGCUUCAGAGCUUCUGAUAGUCCUCAUCUUUAGAUUUCCAGUGUUGACUUCAGAUGAUCUUAAGAUUUCUGGAGUUCUGAUGUACCGUUGCUUAGAGUCAGAACUUCUAGAUCGCGCUUCUUCUUCAGAUGCUUCUGAUAUUCUGAUAUGCUGUUUUGUUCAGAGUCAGAGUUUCUAGAGCGCGUUUUUACUACAGAUGCUUCUGUUCUUCUGAUAAUUUGUAUCUGAUUUGAUUCUAUAUCUGAUGACGCAAUCAGAUUCCUUUCUUCUUGUUUAGAGUCUUGCACACUUAGAAACUUUUCGUUAGAGUGCCAUUUUUGGUUUCAUCCUUUGUUAUCAUCAAAAUCCUAGAAUCUGUUGUAGAACAAUUUUUGUUCUUACAACAAAAAAAGUGUCAGCUAAGUCAAAAAAACCUGAAAAGGUUGACUGAGGCAAAAGUUAGGGCACCCUGAUGGACCGCAAAUUCAAAAGAACCGGUUCAUGCAAAAAUGGGGAUAAAAAUAAAAAAAGAAAAAAUGGAAACAAGCUUGAAAAUGAAAGUAGGUGACUGCCACCUCAAGAAUCUCACCAGUGCUUUAACCAUUAUAUCUACCUCAAUCAUCAUGACUACCAAAAUUCUCUUGCCGGCAGAAUGCAUCCUUUGAGUUAGUUGGAUUUAGGAAUGGCGGAGAUUAAAGGAGAAAAGGUGUGUUAAAUCUAAUUUUGAGCCUUAUAUCUUCUUCUUUUUUCAUAAACCUUGAACCAAGUCACUCUACAACCUUUAAAAGACCUAAUUGAAGUUAGGUUCAUUAUGAAAGCAUACUCAUAGAAAUUGUUGUUAAAUUGACUCCAAAUGUUUGUUAAAUCAUCGUUAAGAACAUUGUCUUACCAUAAUUUUACAUCUUCAUUUGUGCCAACCUCGUGGACAAAUAUCAUCCUUUAUAUAGGUUACAUUUAUUAUCCGUAACAAUUUUAGAUUUCAAAACCUGCACGAGCAUUGUGUUAUAAUUACUUUUCAAAAGGAACAAUUUUACUUGUAAAUCAAUACUUAACAUCGAGGAAAUUUCAACAAUGGUCUGAUCAGAGGCAUACCGCUUUAAAACACUUUUGGCUAAGGGAAAAUCAUAUAGGGAUCCUACCGGUCAGAAGCAAAUCCUUAUAAUCAUGGGCAGACCAUCUGAAGAUCUUGUUGAUUAGGGGGAAAUAUCAAGAAUUGGCCAACCUAGGUCAAAUCACGUCCAAACCCUAAUGAUCAGGGGAAAACCUUUCAAGAUUCAAAUACUAGGGCAAUCUAUAUCAGGAUCAUAUCACAACAUGGUUGGAUCCAAGUUCUUUUUUAGGCAACUCCUUCAAAGAACCUACCAAUAGGGGAAAAGACAAGGUACUGCAGGGGAAAAUGCUCUCUAUACUUUCAAGUUGCUCAAGCAGACUUUGUCGUACACCAGCGACCAUCGAGUUUAACAUGAGUGUCGAAGGUCAUGCUAGCACAACACCCUUCCACCUUUUGACAAACAAUCUUGUUUCACAAACAACCUCUCUAAGCCUUAAUAGUCCACGUCCCACCUUGGGGGAACUUUUUGACACAUUCAAUUCAUCGCAUAAAACAUCAUCAUGCAUCAAUAAUGUUUGCAUUUCUCUAGCAUCAAACCAUAAAUAUUAUCCCAUUCAUCGAGCAUCUCCCAAAGUAUGAAUCUGACAUCAUCAAAAAGUCUUACAACAUAAACAUCUGCAAAAAUCCCAACCUCACUUGGUAUUCACCUCAAAAGUCCAACCUUGAUUGUCACCCCACAAAAGCUCAACUUUGCUUGGCAUCCCAUAAAAACCUAAUAUUGCUUUGCACCUCACAAAAGACUACUCUUGUCUAGCACCUCACAAAAGUCUAAUCUUGCUUGACACCCAACAUUUACAAUUAAAGAUCCCGACCUCACUCGACGCCUCAAAAUCCAAGAGCCCGACCUCGCUCGACACAUCUAAAAAAAUCCAAAGAGUUUAUUUUCUUUGUAUUCUUUAUACACCUCUGAUUGUAUAUCAAGUGUAUUACCCCCCACCCCCNCAUUUAUCUGUUACGUUGAUUGUUAGAAGUCUCUUACUAAGUGUUUGAGCAUUUGAAGUCUCUUUCUUGUGUGUUGUAGCAUUGAAAGUCUUUUGUUUGUGUGCUUGAGCAUAUAAGUCUCUUACUUUUGUGUUUGAGCAUUGAAAGUCUCUUGCUUAUGUGCUUGAGCAAAUUGAAAUCUUGUGUGAUUAUAGUGAAAAUAUCUUGUAAGUACAAGGGGACUGGAUUACUCUCAAAUUAUGAGAGGAACCAGGAUAACCCUGCGUGUCACUCUUCUUUCAUGCAAUGCAUAUCCAUUGCCUACCUCUAAUUGUUUCAGAUUCUAUACGUUGUGUUUAGGAUCUGACCAAAGAGUUUAAAAAGAAAGAAAAAGUAAACACAAUUCAACUCCCCUUUCUUGUGUUUUUCUCACAUUCAGAAUUAAGGCAGUGUGUUAAGAAUAUUUUUGGUAAUUCAAGUGCUAUAAUCGGUUAACACGGGGUGUAACCAGUUACGACAAAACAAAAGUCACUUAUGAGCUGAAGAAACAAGGAAAGCAUCGUGGGUGUAAUCAGUUAAUGUAAUUACGUAACCGGUUACCACUGAAAGAUAAUUAUUUUUUGUAGCAGCUGGUAGAAUCGGUUAUAGAUUUAGUGUAACCGAUUACAAGUACGAGUUUUUCAUUUUUUUUAGUUAUUUGCUUAUGUAACAUGUAUUUCAAUCAUUGUGUAAUUUUUGUAUAAAUGCCUUGACGGCAUUCUCAUCAAUGUUAAUGUCAAAUAUUCUCGCCCUCAAUUAUCUUUUUCUCUCCACACUUUAAUCUCUCCAUUAUUCACCAAUCUUGUGGUUCUAAAUUCUAACAAUUGAGUUAUUGGUGAAGUCAAUUUUGUUCUUGAGCAAUAAAGCUUGCUUCUUGGAUUUGUUCCAACUAUGAUAAUUUGAAUCGUUGAACGAUGGUGACGCCGAGGUUUUCACAGGAGGUGAAGGUAAUAGGGGCUGCAGGUAUCGCAUGAGCGAUAAAAUGGAUUGCUAUAAUUGGGGUUCCCGAGGAAGAAUCAAAAUCUUUGGAAGAAGAUCAAAUAAGAUGAAGAAUGAUUAGUAAAUUUCAGAAUUUGGUUUUGUAGAAUAGGAAAGGUUUACAUUCAUACUAUAUUACUGACAGAUAAUAAAAAGAUUGCAAGGCAAACGUGAAUGUUUGUAUUCAUCCACUAUUGGCAAGAAAUCUUGAAUUAAACGUUUAAGCUACAAGCUGCACACAUGCUCCACAUAUAUAGCGUUGGUGUAACAGAUUGAUAGAAUAUAGAAAUUGAUAAAACUAACCAACUUCCUAACUGUCAAACUAGACUUUCUAACCGAUUUACAUUCAAUCACUUUUAUUUUUAAAGUACAUAUAUAAAUACAUUAGUGUUAAUAUCGUGUCUGAUGUUUGUUGUUGUGGUUCAUAGUACACGAGUCUCUUUGCGAUGCCUUUUCGUUGUUGCUUGUGUGUCUUUCUCAACUUGAUAUUCUAAUAAGCUCAUCAUAUCUUCUUCCAUCGCUUCAUUUUCUUCUUCGUCUUCUUCGUCAACCACAUUCUCUAUUUCCUCAGGUUCUUCCUCUUCCACUCGAUCUCGAUCAACAAUAUCCUUACCCAAACCAAUGUUUUCUUCCAUUAUAAUAUCACUUUUUCUCUUUUUUUCACCACCCAUCAACUCAUAAGAAUUUUUCAUCCAAAAUUGAAACCCUUUCCUUCCAAGUACUUUGGUUUCAUGUGAGUGUUUGAGUUGGUAUAACAACCAAAUGGCAGCAGCUAUUAAAGUAAACACUUUAAGACCUUGUUUUACCUUGUAGCCAUUUGUCCUCAUGUUUCUGUUAGGUGAUUGCUUCAACAUCUUGUACUCUUAAAUUUCUCUUGCAAAUAAAGAAAAAAUAAAUAAUUAAAAAUUCAACAUAACAUGCAUAUAUUUCUAAAAUAUGUAUUAGAUGUAGGAAAAAAGAAGAAGAUAAAAUUGAUAUAUACAGUGUUAUAUACUGUGUCAUGUCAUGAUAUUAAAAUAAUUAAAACAAAGAAAAAAAAUAUCUUUGAUUGGUGAAUCAUGAAUGAAUGUUCUGUAACUUCCAAACAACAAGUUACUAGCAUGUCAGAAAAAUAUCAACAUAUUUCCAGGCCUUAUUUGAGUGAAUACAAACUUUUCCAGAUUGUACCUAAAUAAAUACAGUACUACUACUUUUUAUGUUCAACCAAGAUUUAGAAGUAAUAAAAAUCUAUUUUUGUAAACUCUCAUAUUUCACUUUUAUAGCUAGGUUAAAAACAUUACUCUCAUUCUUUUAUCUUAAGAAGACUCAUUAUUUUAGUGUCUAUUCUAUGCAAAGAGAGGAUAUUCUCAUCACAUAAUCUAUGACUAAUGAACAUCUGCAAUGGUUUAUUAUCUUAGAAGUGAAAAAUUGAAAAGAAGACACAAACAACCUAAAAAUCUUAAAUGAGAAUGAG
RNAcentral lists this long non-coding RNA (13344 nucleotides) under Lathyrus oleraceus (garden pea). Its description in RNAcentral is "Pisum sativum (pea) long non-coding RNA (PSAT_LNC038880)". Lineage: Eukaryota; Viridiplantae; Streptophyta; Magnoliopsida; Fabales; Fabaceae. The record is from RNAcentral.